CUGCAAGUCUGAAGCUCUACCUGCUCCCAGUGGCCGGGUUAGAGAGCGAGGGAGGCAGGGAGGGGGCAGCUUGCGUCAGAGGUGACCGCGAAGCAUCCCCGGUGCAGCCUCGUAGGUGUGCCCUCGGCCGCUGUGCGGCUGGAUAAACCUCCUCUGGCGUGUGCGGGUCGGACUCCAUGAAGCCGGCCGGAGGGCUCGGGAGCCAGCCGGUCUGCCCCUGCUAUGGCUGGGGGAGAAGUGGCUGAGGUUGCAGGGAGCCAGCCCGCCGUGGCUGCCACUGCAGAAGGGUCAAAUAUCUCUAGUAUUUGACCUUCCCUGAGCAGUACAGCCUCAUGAACCACGACCUGGACCUGAAGCCAGAAGUCUCAGGCUAGAUUUCCUGCCAAGCUACUUCUGAAAUACAGGACCUUGAUCAAAUUAUUCAUGAAGCCCUGGGGACUACACAAACCCAAGAAGUAAUGCCGCAUUGUAUUCUAAUAAUGUAAUAAUGUAAUUCUAAUAAUUAGCCUUUUGUGAAAUGUAAAAUAGAACUAAAUGUCUAAGUUGUUGUACAUUAUGGGAAAAAUAACCAAUUUUACUCAAUAGAACAUGUUACUUACCACGUCUAAUCCCGGAAAUGCUGCACGGCCUUUGAUUUCAAUCAUUUCUUCCAUUUCAUGCACAACGUCUCUGAGGACAAAUUUAACAGAGCUGCUUGCAAAUUCAGGAAACAUCUGGCAAAGAUUGUACAACUGCCUGUUAACCAGAAACACAAGUCAUCAUUCAACUACUCCAGAUAGUAAAACCAAGAGAAAAAACAAGUCUCAUGGUAACACCAGUGUCAAAGCUACCUGCUAGUUCUCCCUAACUGAAUUCCACACCGAACUCUUGUUACAAGUUACAACUGGUGGAUCUUGGCCAAAAUAACUUUUUUCAUAUUCUGAUACAUUUUGUAGAGACCAAGACCAUAGCUUUUCUUGAAGCAUUUUCUAAGAAGUCAUUUCCCUUUAUACAGUCUAACAACAACAAAAACAGGUAAAAUAAUAAAUUGAAAGCAUCUAAAUGCUGUGGAAGAGUCAGUAGACAUGUGUCCUUAGCUCAGACUUGGCCAUUCUUCUCACUAUGUGGAUUAUGGGCAAUUUUUUUCCUCUCUCUAGGCUUUGGCUUCCUCCUCUGUAAAAUAAAAGUGUUGUAUCAGA
Monodelphis domestica (gray short-tailed opossum) is the source of this 1178-nucleotide non-coding RNA. NCBI's taxonomy places the organism in Eukaryota, Metazoa, Chordata, Mammalia, Didelphimorphia, Didelphidae. The record is from RefSeq and is a predicted model, not a curated record.